CUGCACUUCAGACCAUGUUAUGAUGGAGACGUCUGAGCAAGAAGAAGAUGUCCUACAGUUUGAAUGUGAGGAUGGCUCCUGGCUCCCGGGUUCUCUCCGCUGAGCAGAUGCCUCCCCGGAUCCCAGCUAUCAGGGAUAUUUUGAGAAUGAUUUCUGCAUAAUUAAAAUGGACGA
Molecule: long non-coding RNA, 174 nt
Organism: Carassius gibelio (silver crucian carp)
Lineage: Eukaryota; Metazoa; Chordata; Actinopteri; Cypriniformes; Cyprinidae
Exons: 3
Source: RefSeq, a predicted model, not a curated record